CAUAGAGCCACAUGUUCCCCAGA
This 23-nucleotide non-coding RNA is filed under the name Rattus norvegicus (Norway rat). The record is from RNAcentral. Lineage: Eukaryota; Metazoa; Chordata; Mammalia; Rodentia; Muridae.